This 91-nucleotide transfer RNA is filed under the name Cynopterus brachyotis (lesser short-nosed fruit bat). Its description in RNAcentral is "partial tRNA-Pro". The record is from RNAcentral. Lineage: Eukaryota; Metazoa; Chordata; Mammalia; Chiroptera; Pteropodidae.
AUGUUGGCUGGAAUGAUUUGACUUAAUGGGGUAUGUCCGAUCACGGAGUUUAUGUCUUAUGUACUGUCAAGGAUUUCGUAGUUGUUGAGGU